AUAAACCCGACAUCACGAGAGAAACCAACGAUCAACGAUCUCCGUACCCAGAACUCUGAUCGACAAUGGCCGCCACUGCAUCCUUGGACUCCUUCGGAAGCUUGAUACUGUUCUUCAGCUUCUCUCUCUUGCUCGCCACCGACGGCGACUCCUCUAGCAUCCUCUGAAGACCUCCGCCAGCUCUUGGAUCCACCAUCUCCGCCACAAUCUCCUUCUGAAACUAAUAAUUCACGAGAUUCUUCACUGACAGCUGAAGAUACAGAGCAAGACUGUCCACAAUCCUUCGUAAGACUAUCGUCCAGUAAGAUGCUAUCCUCAUCUUCAUAUCGAAGGCUUGCUGCAGGAGAUGAGCAUGAUACUUCCGUAGGUGAGAGAUCUUCACAAUUCCACCAAAUCCAGUCAACGAGAAGUGCUCAGGCUUUUUCCCAUCGGACAACACAGCAUAAAUGAAGUUUUGUUGUUCAGCAGUCAUCUGAGUCCAAGACGUCAUGUACUCAGGGUUACAUGUGUAAUCAGUCAGCUUCUCCAUUUCAACAAUCUCCAACACUCGCUCCACAGAGUGUUCCUUGAUCUUGGUGAUUAGAUUUCGACCAGCACGUUUGAUGGCAGAUUGGAUCUGUGGGAAGUUUUCAGAAUACUUGGCAAUGACGGAUGAGAGAACAACUUCAAUGUAGUCCCAUAUCUUCUUGAUGAACUCCACGGGCUUGACAUGUAUGGCAUCUUCGUGUUGUGAUAGUAUAGCCAAGAAGGCUGACCUGGGGAUGAAAUUGGGCAGUCCAACACACUUGCAUUCGUCAAGGAUCUUGAUCUCAUUCAUCAAGAACUCGGUCACUUCCUUUGGCUUCUCUUGCAGAUUAUCGGAGAAUUGGCUUAACAUGUCAGCCAAACGAGCAGUACAGUGCAUGUUCUGGUCAUCCGGGAAUUCAGAGAAGUCUCCUUGGACAAGGAUUCUGAAGAGGGACUCCUUGGCAGAACCAAUGAUGUCCAUCAAUGCCAUCAAUGCUUCUCCGGUAGAAGCCAUAACCAUCGGUAGCUUGUUCAACUCCAGGACAGCAGUUUCCAUCUUGUGAUUGAUCUUGCGAACGAUUUCAGGCAAACAGCGGGAAAUCAUCGUUGCUUGGAUAAGCAUUAGCUUCUGAGCUAUAACAGGGAUUCCCACGAUGUCUUCAUCAAUCAAGCUCAGCAUCGGGUGAGUCCUGAAGAGCAACUCUUCUUGCAUUCUAGCUUGUUCAUACGCUCUUCUCCAAUGCGGUUUCUGACACAGACGUAACCUAGACCAAUACUCACAUCAUCCGCAGUUACUUUCUGUAGGAGACCUUCGGGAGCCAUGUCUGCCUUGGUGACAACGGCCAGAGUCCGUUCACAUACGGAUGGAUUCACAGGUGGUGAAGUCGACUGUAGCUGACAGAACAUUGAGGAUUAUUGAUUCUUGUGGCUCGAUGUACUUCAUGAUCAUCCCAGAAAUCUGUUCGUAAAUAUUCUCCGGUUGUCCAUUCACUGGCCUCGAGUUAUACCGGGAAGAUCGACCAUGGUAAGAUAUGGGACCCCAGCCUUCUUAACAUGGAGGGUCAAUGGAGCGUCUGAGACCCCUUUGCCAGAUCCUGCAGUAUAGCUAAACACACUUAAUACCAAGAUAGAGAGUGAACUUACCAGCAAUCACAUCUGUUGCAGCACAGAUAGCUUCAGCGAUGUGCUCCUCAUCCGUGGGAACAAUCUUGUCACUGUACUCAAGCCAUAUCUCAGGUACAGGGCUAGAGCUUCGCUGAAGUCGCAUGACAAGAGGAACCCUAGUGCAGAUUCCUUGGCCACGAGGUAGACUGAUUCCUGCCAACGAGUCGAGGACACUUGACUUCCCCGAGGACUGGUCUCCAACCACGACAAUGGUGGGAAGCUGAAUGCCUUCUCUCAUCACAUUGAGGUUCCUUAGACGGUCAACCGUGUCAAGCAACGGCCUAAUCCUAUCGUUAUAUGAAGAUAUAAUCGGUGCUUCGAUGGGAACAACUUCUCUGUUGUCAUGAGGAUUCGCCUGGACAAUUGCAAGAGAAGGAGAAGAGGUUCUAGUGACAACAUGCUUCUUACUACCUCCCAUUUGUGUUCUUUUAGAGAUAAGACAAGAGUAGAAGAUAUAAAAGACAGAAAAGAGAAGUUCUAUGGGUAAGUGAGAUUCUUCUUAGAGAUAUGCAAAGAUAUAUAUAGAGAUAUUAGAAGGGCUUUGUGUAUACGAAGAAUUUACGAAGCAAGUAAAUUGCAUGAAAGGAUGCAAGUAGCGUGCAUGUUGGAAUUGAAAAAAGCUAAUUAAGUCAGUAAUUGCACCUAUAUCUAGCUCGUAGUUGAAACUAAAACGUCUCUCUUAAGAUGUGUAUUUGAAUAUUUUAUUGGUUCCAAUUGGCUGAAUUCUUUUGUGGUGAAGUUUGGAAUUUUGACUAAAG
RNAcentral lists this long non-coding RNA (2429 nucleotides) under Arabidopsis thaliana (thale cress). Its description in RNAcentral is "potential natural antisense gene, locus overlaps with AT1G60510 (AT1G60505)". The record is from RNAcentral. Lineage: Eukaryota; Viridiplantae; Streptophyta; Magnoliopsida; Brassicales; Brassicaceae.